GUGCUAUGGAUGGUACGGGUACGGGGUGUUAGGGCACGACACCGGAGAGGGAGCCUGAGAAACGGCUACCACAUCCAAGGAUGGCAGCAGGCGCGCAAAUUACCCAAUCCCGACACGGGGAGGUAGUGACAAUAAAUAACAAUACGGGGUCCUUUCGGGUCUCGUAAUUGGAAUGAGUACAAUUUAAAUCUCUUAACGAGGAACAAUUGGAGGGCAAGUCUGGUGCCAGCAGCCGCGGUAAUUCCAGCUCCAAUAGCGUAUAUUAAAGUUGUUGCAGUUAAAAAGCUCGUAGUUGAAUUUCGGGAUCAACAUGUCGGUCGUGCCUCCGGUACGUACUGGCAUCGUUGAUUUCUACCUUCUGACAAACCAUGAUGUCAUUAAUUUGGUGUCAUGGGGAAUCAGGACUGUUACUUUGAAAAAAUUAGAGUGUUUAAAGCAGGCACACGCUUGAAUACAUUAGCAUGGAAUAAUGAAAUAGGACGUUUGACCCUAUUUUGUUGGUUUCUAGGAUCGACGUAAUGAUUAAUAGGGAUAGUUGGGGGCAUUAGUAUUCAAUUGUCAGAGGUGAAAUUCUUGGAUUUAUUGAAGACUAACUACUGCGAAAGCAUUUGCCAAGGAUGUUUUCAUUAAUCAAGAACGAAAGUUAGGGGAUCGAAGACGAUCAGAUACCGUCGUAGUCUUAACCAUAAACUAUGCCGACUAGGGAUCGGAUGAUGUUAAUUUUUUAAUGACUCAUUCGGCGCCUUACGGGAAACAACUUUUUUGUGUGCCUCCAUAA
This 778-nucleotide ribosomal RNA is filed under the name Glomeraceae sp. Its description in RNAcentral is "SSU rRNA". It matches the Rfam family "Eukaryotic small subunit ribosomal RNA", at positions 341 to 1116 of the family's 1831-position model. The record is from RNAcentral. Lineage: Eukaryota; Fungi; Glomeromycota; Glomeromycetes; Glomerales; Glomeraceae.